This 744-nucleotide ribosomal RNA is filed under the name Triticum aestivum (bread wheat). Its description in RNAcentral is "partial small subunit ribosomal RNA". The record is from RNAcentral. Lineage: Eukaryota; Viridiplantae; Streptophyta; Magnoliopsida; Poales; Poaceae.
AUGGCGAUGUUUUCCGCCGGCGAUGGCGGCCAGGGCGGGCUGCUCUCGGCCUUCUUCAGUAACGGCGAUGACAUGCACAUGCUCAACUCGGCCUUCCUCAAGGGCAUGGAGGAGGCCAACAAGUUCUUGCCGACCAACAACACCCUCCUCGAGGCCAUCCUCGGCAAGGAGCGCGGCUUCACCGUCAAGAAGGAGGUGGCGAAUGGAACACCGACGUCCGGCAAUGGCCGGGGCCGCAAAUACAGGUACGACGAGGACGACCUGAAGGCGGAGACCGCCAGGAGCAGCAAGCUGAUGAUGCCGGACAGCGAGGAGACCGGCGCCCGCGAGAUGUUCGACGAAAUAAUGCUGGAGGGGUACGAGGCAUGCAUGCAGGGGAUAGAGGAGCUGCGCCUCGCCAUGGACAGCGAGGCCAAGAAGAAGAACGGGAAGGCGACGCGCGCGAAGAAGAGCGAGGCGGUCGACCUGCGCACCAUGCUCAUCCACCGCGCGCAGGCCGUGGCCGCGGGCGACCGCCGGGGCGCGACGGAGCUGCUCAGGCAGAUCAAGCAGCACUCCGGGCCGACGGGAGACGCCACGCAGAGGCUGGCGCACUGCUUCGCCGAGGGGCUGGAGGCGCGGCUGGCGGGCACGGGGAGCCAGGUCUACUGUUUCGCGCGAUCCGCACUCGCCAGCGCCCACGAUGCGUGCUCGUACGCGUACGUCUCGACUGGCAACCAACAGAUAUCUACAUGCAUGCACUAA